Molecule: ribosomal RNA, 373 nt
Filed under: uncultured bacterium
Lineage: Bacteria
Description: bacterial SSU rRNA
Rfam family: Bacterial small subunit ribosomal RNA
Source: RNAcentral
ACAGAGGGGGCAAGCGUUGUUCGGAAUUACUGGGCGUAAAGGGCGCGUAGGCGGCCUGCUAAGUCGAACGUGAAAUCCCCGGGCUCAACCCGGGAACUGCGUCCGAUACUGGUGGGCUUGAAUCCGGGAGAGGGAUGUGGAAUUCCAGGUGUAGCGGUGAAAUGCGUAGAUAUCUGGAGGAACACCGGUGGCGAAGGCGGCAUCCUGGACCGGUAUUGACGCUGAGGCGCGAAAGCCAGGGGAGCAAACGGGAUUAGAUACCCCGGUAGUCCUGGCCCUAAACGAUGAAUGCUUGGUGUGGCGGGUAUCGAUCCCUGCCGUGCCGAAGCUAACGCAUUAAGCAUUCCGCCUGGGGAGUACGGUCGCAAGGCUG